Molecule: ribosomal RNA, 464 nt
Filed under: Vreelandella stevensii
Lineage: Bacteria; Pseudomonadati; Pseudomonadota; Gammaproteobacteria; Oceanospirillales; Halomonadaceae
Description: partial 16S ribosomal RNA
Rfam family: Bacterial small subunit ribosomal RNA
Source: RNAcentral
CCUACGGGGUGCUGCAGUGGGGAAUAUUGGACAAUGGGCGAAAGCCUGAUCCAGCCAUGCCGCGUGUGUGAAGAAGGCCUUCGGGUUGUAAAGCACUUUCAGUGGGAAGAAAGCCUUGGGGCUAAUACCCUCGAGGAAGGACAUCACCCACAGAAGAAGCACCGGCUAACUCCGUGCCAGCAGCCGCGGUAAUACGGAGGGGGCGAGCGUUAAUCGGAAUUACUGGGCGUAAAGCGCGCGUAGGCGGUCUGAUAAGCCGGUUGUGAAAGCCCCGGGCUCAACCUGGGAACGGCAUCCGGAACUGUCAGGCUAGAGUGCAGGAGAGGAAGGUAGAAUUCCCGGUGUAGCGGUGAAAUGCGUAGAGAUCGGGAGGAAUACCAGUGGCGAAGGCGGCCUUCUGGACUGACACUGACGCUGAGGUGCGAAAGCGUGGGUAGCAAACAGGAUUAGAUACCCGAGUAGUC